RNAcentral lists this ribosomal RNA (497 nucleotides) under uncultured bacterium. RNAcentral describes it as "partial 16S ribosomal RNA". It matches the Rfam family "Bacterial small subunit ribosomal RNA", at positions 28 to 507 of the family's 1533-position model. The record is from RNAcentral.
GAUGAACGCUGGCGGCGUGCCUAAUACAUGCAAGUCGAGCGAACGGACGAGAAGCUUGUUUCUCUGAUGUUAGCGGCGGACGGGUGAGUAACACGUGGAUAACCUACUUAUAAGACUGGGAUAACUUCGGGAAACCGGAGCUAAUACCGGAUAAUAUUUUGAACCGCAUGGUUCAAAAGUGAAAGACGGUCUUGCUGUCUCUUAUAGAUGGAUCCGCGCUGGUUUAGCUAGUUGGUAAGGUAACGGCUUACCAAGGCAACGAUGCAUAGCCGACCUGCGAGGGUGAUCGGCCACACUGGAACUGAGACACGGUCCAGACUCCUACGGGAGGCAGCAGUAGGGAAUCUUCCGCAAUGGGCGAAAGCCUGACGGAGCAACGCCGCGUGAGUGAUGAAGGUCUUCGGAUCUUAAAACUCUGUUAUUAGGGAAGAACAUAUGUGUAAGUAACUGUGCACAUCUUGACGGUACCUAAUCAGAAAGCCACGGCUAACUACGUG